GACGAACGCUGGCGGCGUGCCUAAUACAUGCAAGUCGAGCGGACCAAAGGGAGCUUGCUCCUGGAGGUUAGCGGCGAACGGGUGAGUAACACGUGGGCAACCUGCCUGUAAGACUGGGAUAACAUCGAGAAAUCGGUGCUAAUACCGGAUAAUAAAAAGAACUGCAUGGUUCUUUUUGAAAGAUGGUUUCGGCUAUCACUUACAGAUGGGCCCGCGGCGCAUUAGCUAGUUGGUGAGGUAACGGCUCACCAAGGCGACGAUGCGUAGCCGACCUGAGAGGGUGAUCGGCCACACUGGGACUGAGACACGGCCCAGACUCCUACGGGAGGCAGCAGUAGGGAAUCUUCCGCAAUGGACGAAAGUCUGACGGAGCAACGCCGCGUGAGUGAUGAAGGUUUCGGAUCGUAAAACUCUGUUGUUAGGGAAGAACAAGUG
RNAcentral lists this ribosomal RNA (435 nucleotides) under uncultured bacterium. Its description in RNAcentral is "bacterial SSU rRNA". It matches the Rfam family "Bacterial small subunit ribosomal RNA", at positions 28 to 455 of the family's 1533-position model. The record is from RNAcentral.